GGCCGGGUAGCCGAGUGGUCCAGGCAGCGGUCUGCAAAACCGCGUACGCGGGUUCAAUUCCCGCCCCGGCCU
RNAcentral lists this transfer RNA (72 nucleotides) under Actinomycetota bacterium. RNAcentral's name for it is "tRNA-Cys". It matches the Rfam family "tRNA". From Rfam's summary of the family: Transfer RNA (tRNA) molecules are approximately 80 nucleotides in length. Their secondary structure includes four short double-helical elements and three loops (D, anti-codon, and T loops). Further hydrogen bonds mediate the characteristic L-shaped molecular structure. tRNAs have two regions of fundamental functional importance: the anti-codon, which is responsible for specific mRNA codon recognition, and the 3' end, to which the tRNAs corresponding amino acid is attached (by aminoacyl-tRNA synthetases). tRNAs cope with the degeneracy of the genetic code in two manners: having more than one tRNA (with a specific anti-codon) for a particular amino acid; and 'wobble' base-pairing, i.e. permitting non-standard base-pairing at the 3rd anti-codon position. The record is from RNAcentral. Lineage: Bacteria; Bacillati; Actinomycetota.